RNAcentral lists this ribosomal RNA (472 nucleotides) under uncultured bacterium. Its description in RNAcentral is "partial 16S ribosomal RNA". It matches the Rfam family "Bacterial small subunit ribosomal RNA", at positions 28 to 507 of the family's 1533-position model. The record is from RNAcentral.
GACGAACGCUGGCGGCGUGCUUAACACAUGCAAGUCGAACGCUGAAGCUUGGUGCUUGCACUGGGGGGAUGAGUGGCGAACGGGUGAGUAAUACGUGAGUAACCUGCCCUUGACUCUGGGAUAAGCCUGGGAAACUGGGUCUAAUACUGGAUACGACAUGUCACCGCAUGGUGGUGUGUGGAAAGGGGUUUAGUGGUUUUGGCUGGGCUCACGGCCUAUCAGCUUGUUGGUGGGGUAAUGGCUCACCAAGGCGACGACGGGUAGCCGGCCUGAGAGGGUGGCCGGCCACCAUGGGACUGAGACACGGCCCAGACUGCUACGGUAGGCAGCAGUGGGGAAUAUUGCAGAAUGGGCGGAAGCCUGAUGCAGCGACGCCGCGUGCGGGAUGACGGCCUUCGGGUUGUAAACCUCUUUCAGAACGGAAGAAGCGAAAGUGACGGUACGUGCAGAAGAAGCGCCGGCUAACUACGUG